UACGGAGGGUGCGAGCGUUGUCCGGAAUCACUGGGCGUAAAGGGCGCGUAGGCGGCGCGGAUAGUCGGCGGUGAAAGCCCGGAGCUCAACUCCGGGUCGGCCGUCGAUACUUCCGGGCUUGAGCACUGUAGAGGCAGAUGGAAUUCCGGGUGUAGCGGUGGAAUGCGUAGAGAUCCGGAAGAACACCGGUGGCGAAGGCGGUCUGCUGGGCAGUUGCUGACGCUGAUGCGCGACAGCGUGGGGAGCAAACAGGAUUAGAUACCCUGGUAGUCCACGCCGUAAACGAUGGGCACUAGGUGCUUGGGGGAGCGACCCUCUGAGUGCCGGCGCUAACGCAUUAAGUGCCCCGCCUGGGGAGUACGGCCGCAAGGCUGAA
This 376-nucleotide ribosomal RNA is filed under the name uncultured bacterium. RNAcentral describes it as "bacterial SSU rRNA". It matches the Rfam family "Bacterial small subunit ribosomal RNA", at positions 524 to 898 of the family's 1533-position model. The record is from RNAcentral.